GAUGGUGUAGCUCAAAGGUAAGAGUAUGUGCUUAGCAUCUACAAGGCCCUGAGUUCUUUCUCCAGCACUAUCC
RNAcentral lists this transfer RNA (73 nucleotides) under Heterocephalus glaber (naked mole-rat). It matches the Rfam family "tRNA". Rfam says of the family: Transfer RNA (tRNA) molecules are approximately 80 nucleotides in length. Their secondary structure includes four short double-helical elements and three loops (D, anti-codon, and T loops). Further hydrogen bonds mediate the characteristic L-shaped molecular structure. tRNAs have two regions of fundamental functional importance: the anti-codon, which is responsible for specific mRNA codon recognition, and the 3' end, to which the tRNAs corresponding amino acid is attached (by aminoacyl-tRNA synthetases). tRNAs cope with the degeneracy of the genetic code in two manners: having more than one tRNA (with a specific anti-codon) for a particular amino acid; and 'wobble' base-pairing, i.e. permitting non-standard base-pairing at the 3rd anti-codon position. The record is from Rfam by way of RNAcentral. Lineage: Eukaryota; Metazoa; Chordata; Mammalia; Rodentia; Bathyergidae.